ACGAACGCUGGCGGCGUGCUUAACACAUGCAAGUCGAACGGUGAAGCGCCUUCCUUUUUGGUGGGUGUGGAUGAGUGGCGAACGGGUGAGUAACACGUGAGUAACCUGCCCCCUUCUUCUGGAUAACCGCAUGAAAGUGUGGCUAAUACGGGAUAUUCUGGGUCUGUCGCAUGAUGGGUCUGGGAAAGAUAUUGUUUCGGUGGGGGAUGGGCUCGCGGCCUAUCAGCUUGUUGGUGGGGUGAUGGCCUACCAAGGCGGUGACGGGUAGCCGGCCUGAGAGGGUGGACGGUCACACUGGGACUGAGACACGGCCCAGACUCCUACGGGAGGCAGCAGUGGGGAAUAUUGCACAAUGGGCGCAAGCCUGAUGCAGCGACGCCGCGUGAGGGGUGGAGGCCUUCGGGUUGUGAACCUCUUUCGCCAGUGAAGCAGGCCUGCCUCGUUUGUGGGUGGGUUGACGGUAGCUGGAUAAGAAGCGCCGGCUAACUACGUG
This 493-nucleotide ribosomal RNA is filed under the name uncultured bacterium. Its description in RNAcentral is "partial 16S ribosomal RNA". It matches the Rfam family "Bacterial small subunit ribosomal RNA", at positions 29 to 507 of the family's 1533-position model. The record is from RNAcentral.